UACGUAGGGGCCAAGCGUUGUCCGGAUUUAUUGGGCGUAAAGAGCUCGUAGGCGGUUGGGUAAGUCGGGUGUGAAAACUCCAGGCUCAACUUGGAGAUGCCACCCGAUACUGCUCUGACUUGAGUUCGGUAGGGGAGUGGGGAAUUCCUGGUGUAGCGGUGAAAUGCGCAGAUAUCAGGAGGAACACCGGUGGCGAAGGCAGCACUCUGGGACGUGACUGACGCUGAGACGCGAAAGCGUGGGGAGCAAACAGG
This 254-nucleotide ribosomal RNA is filed under the name uncultured bacterium. RNAcentral's name for it is "partial 16S ribosomal RNA". It matches the Rfam family "Bacterial small subunit ribosomal RNA", at positions 524 to 776 of the family's 1533-position model. The record is from RNAcentral.